RNAcentral lists this unclassified non-coding RNA (520 nucleotides) under uncultured Glomus. RNAcentral describes it as "SSU rRNA". It matches the Rfam family "Eukaryotic small subunit ribosomal RNA", at positions 569 to 1092 of the family's 1831-position model. The record is from RNAcentral. Lineage: Eukaryota; Fungi; Glomeromycota; Glomeromycetes; Glomerales; Glomeraceae.
AGCAGCCGCGGUAAUUCCAGCUCCAAUAGCGUAUAUUAAAGUUGUUGCAGUUAAAAAGCUUGUAGUUGAAUUUCGGGAUCAAGGAAUCGGUCAUGCCUCGGUAUGUACUGGUUUUAUUGGUUCUCACCUUCUAAAGAACCAUGAUGUCAUUCAUUUGAUGUUAUGGGGAAUUAGGACUGUUACCUUGAAAAAAUUAGAGUGUUUAAAGCAGGCUUACGCUUGAAUACAUUAGCAUGGAAUAAUGAAAUAGGACAUCAGGUUCUAUUUUGUUGGUUUCUAGGAUCGAUGUAAUGAUUAAUAGGGAUAGUUGGGGGCAUUAGUAUUCAAUUGUCAGAGGUGAAAUUCUUGGAUUUAUUGAAGACUAACUACUGCGAAAGCAUUUGCCAAGGAUGUUUUCAUUAAUCAAGAACGAAAGUUAGGGAUCGAAGACGAUCAGAUACCGUCGUAGUCUUAACCAUAAACUAUGCCGACUAGGGAUCGGAUGAUGUUAAUUUUUUAAUGACUCAUUCGGCGCCUUACG